Molecule: transfer RNA, 72 nt
Filed under: bacterium
Lineage: Bacteria
Description: tRNA-Val
Rfam family: tRNA
About the family: Transfer RNA (tRNA) molecules are approximately 80 nucleotides in length. Their secondary structure includes four short double-helical elements and three loops (D, anti-codon, and T loops).
Source: RNAcentral
GCACUCUUAGCUCAAUGGUAGAGCGUUCCGUUCACAUCGGAAAGGCUACAGGUCCGAUUCCUGUAGAGUGCA